Molecule: ribosomal RNA, 484 nt
Filed under: uncultured bacterium
Lineage: Bacteria
Description: partial 16S ribosomal RNA
Rfam family: Bacterial small subunit ribosomal RNA
Source: RNAcentral
AUUGAACGCUGGCGGCAGGCCUAACACAUGCAAGUCGAGCGGAUGAAGGGAGCUUGCUCCUGGAUUCAGCGGCGGACGGGUGAGUAAUGCCUAGGAAUCUGCCUGGUAGUGGGGGAUAACGUCCGGAAACGGGCGCUAAUACCGCAUACGUCCUGAGGGAGAAAGUGGGGGAUCUUCGGACCUCACGCUAUCAGAUGAGCCUAGGUCGGAUUAGCUAGUUGGUGGGGUAAAGGCCUACCAAGGCGGCGAUCCGUAACUGGUCUGAGAGGAUGAUCAGUCACACUGGAACUGAGACACGGUCCAGACUCCUACGGGAGGCAGCAGUGGGGAAUAUUGGACAAUGGGCGAAAGCCUGAUCCAGCUAUGCCGCGUGUGUGAAGAAGGUCUUCGGAUUGUAAAGCACUUUAAGUUGGGAGGAAGGGCAGUAAGUUAAUACCUUGCUGUUUUGACGUUACCAACAGAAUAAGCACCGGCUAACUUCGUG